CAGCAGCCGCGGGAAUACGUAGGUGGCAAGCGUUGUCCGGAUUUAUUGGGCGUAAAGCGAGCGCAGGCGGUCAAUUAAGUCUGAUGUGAAAGCCCCCGGCUCAACCGGGGAGGGUCAUUGGAAACUGGUUGACUUGAGUGCAGAAGAGGAGAGUGGAACUCCAUGUGUAGCGGUGAAAUGCGUAGAUAUAUGGAGGAACACCGGUGGCGAAGGCGACUCUCUGGUCUGUAACUGACGCUGAGGCUCGAAAGCGUGGGUAGCAAACAGGAUUAGAUACCCCCGUAGUCCCUGUCUCUUAUAC
This 301-nucleotide ribosomal RNA is filed under the name uncultured bacterium. Its description in RNAcentral is "partial 16S ribosomal RNA". It matches the Rfam family "Bacterial small subunit ribosomal RNA", at positions 509 to 807 of the family's 1533-position model. The record is from RNAcentral.